This 768-nucleotide ribosomal RNA is filed under the name uncultured bacterium. RNAcentral describes it as "bacterial SSU rRNA". It matches the Rfam family "Bacterial small subunit ribosomal RNA", at positions 8 to 773 of the family's 1533-position model. The record is from RNAcentral.
AGAGUUUGAUCCUGGCUCAGACUGAACGCUGGCGGCAUGCCUUACACAUGCAAGUCGAACGGUAACAGGUCUUCGGAUGCUGACGAGUGGCGAACGGGUGAGUAAUACAUCGGAACGUGCCCGAGAGUGGGGGAUAACGAAGCGAAAGCUUUGCUAAUACCGCAUACGAUCUCAGGAUGAAAGCAGGGGACCGCAAGGCCUUGCGCUCACGGAGCGGCCGAUGGCAGAUUAGGUAGUUGGUGGGAUAAAAGCUUACCAAGCCGACGAUCUGUAGCUGGUCUGAGAGGACGACCAGCCACACUGGGACUGAGACACGGCCCAGACUCCUACGGGAGGCAGCAGUGGGGAAUUUUGGACAAUGGGCGCAAGCCUGAUCCAGCCAUGCCGCGUGCAGGAUGAAGGCCUUCGGGUUGUAAACUGCUUUUGUACGGAACGAAAAGGCUCUGGUUAAUACCUGGGGUCCAUGACGGUACCGUAAGAAUAAGCACCGGCUAACUACGUGCCAGCAGCCGCGGUAAUACGUAGGGUGCGAGCGUUAAUCGGAAUUACUGGGCGUAAAGCGUGCGCAGGCGGUUAUAUAAGACAGAUGUGAAAUCCCCGGGCUCAACCUGGGAACUGCAUUUGUGACUGUAUAGCUAGAGUACGGCAGAGGGGGAUGGAAUUCCGCGUGUAGCAGUGAAAUGCGUAGAUAUGCGGAGGAACACCGAUGGCGAAGGCAAUCCCCUGGGCCUGUACUGACGCUCAUGCACGAAAGCGUGGGGAGCAAAC